Molecule: non-coding RNA, 100 nt
Filed under: Deinococcus peraridilitoris
Lineage: Bacteria; Thermotogati; Deinococcota; Deinococci; Deinococcales; Deinococcaceae
Also listed under: 1 other name
Description: TPP sequence
Rfam family: TPP riboswitch aptamer (THI element)
About the family: Vitamin B(1) in its active form thiamin pyrophosphate (TPP) is an essential coenzyme that is synthesised by coupling of pyrimidine and thiazole moieties in bacteria. The previously detected thiamin-regulatory element, thi box was extended, resulting in a new, highly conserved RNA secondary structure, the THI element, which is widely distributed in eubacteria and also occurs in some archaea.
Source: RNAcentral
GGGCGUCACCGGGGGUGUCCCGCGCUCAUGCGGGACUGAGAAAUACCCCAGGAACCUGAUCCAGUUCAUGCUGGCGGAGGGAGCGUGACCGCGCCGUGAA